GAUGAACGCUGGCGGCAUGCCUAAGACAUGCAAGUCGAUCGAGAUGGUCCAUAGAAGACGGAGUGCUUGCACAAAGUUGGAAAUGGAUUACCAUCUAGUGGCAGACGGGUGAGUAACACGUGGGUGACCUACCUUUAAGUUGGGGAUAACAUUUGGAAACGGAUGCUAAUACCGAAUAAGAUGUAGUUGUCAAGAUUAUAUAGAAAGGAGCCUUUAAAGCUUCGCUUAAAGAUGGGCCUGCGGCGUAUUAACUAGUUGGUGAGGUAAUGGCUCACCAAGGUGACGAUGCGUAGCCGAACUGAGAGGUUGGACGGCCACAUUGGGACUGAGACACGGCCCAA
This 341-nucleotide ribosomal RNA is filed under the name uncultured bacterium. Its description in RNAcentral is "bacterial SSU rRNA". It matches the Rfam family "Bacterial small subunit ribosomal RNA", at positions 28 to 334 of the family's 1533-position model. The record is from RNAcentral.